GUAACGGCUACAGAGCUCGCACAGACCUCACUAUGGACCAGAGGAGGAACUUCAUGUUAAGUGAUACAAAGCUCCAUUUCAGAGGGAACGUUCGCCUCUUCCCACUUGUUUUUGUCCAGAUGAUGCAGCAAAAGGAUGCAGCAGAGGCCGUCACCCAAGUUGAAGCUCCUUCACAUGGCAUAGAGUACAGACCCAAAGUGUCAUGUCCACUCUGCUGAGGAAACAUCGCCCCCCAGAGGUGUUCAGAGAGACUGGCAUGACCUUCUGGACCGUCCACGCCUGAAAAGCCAAUCAGCCAGAUCAUCAGAGUCGGACAGAAUCACACACUAGUGAUGAAAAAUUAUACUAAACUUGUAUUUAGAUUGACAAUUUUUCUUAAUAUUCAUCAUUUUAAACUAUGAAAAUAUUUUGCUCUAAAGUUUUUCAAAAUAAGAGUACAAAAAGUAAAAAUAAAAGCAAAAUAAAAAAAAAAAAACUUUUAAAAUAUGUUGCAUUAUUUUGACAGAGUCGGAGGCAAACUUUGUACGUACUCUUGGUUUGCUGUGAGGGGAACGGCAGACUCUUGGCUCUGUCGGGGGAGUAUCCUCUGCUGCUCACGCUGGAGCCCGAGCGACUGUGGGGGGAGCGGGCCGCAUCCCGGCGGGUGGGGGAGCGCUCUCUGAUGGGAGGGAACAGUGCAGCCUUCCUCCUGUAGGGGUCCCUGUCCUCCCUGGAAACAACAGCAGGGAUUUAAAGGCAAGAAUCUUUGAUACUCUAAUAAAUCCAAAUGUUUCCCCCCAUUUUAUUUAUUAAAAGGCAAUGCUAAUGCUAAUGAAGACUUUCUAAAGACAACACAAACUUUAGAAUGAAUAAACAAAAUACACAGCUUAAAAAAAUAAAGGGAACACACUCAAUGUUACUCCAAAUCAUUCUCACUUCUGAGUGAUCAAACUGUCCAAUUAGGAAGUAACAGUAACUGAGUUUACAUAAGUAAUCGGAAUAAAACCGGAACAUGUAAACCAGUGGUCCCCAAACUGUUUUGGGCCGUUUAAAUUAGACUAUAUUUUCCUGAACUGGUCCGAAGUUGGUACGUUUAAGCCUCCGGUUUCUGAAAAUGUAUUUUCAAAAUAAAAUGCAACUACAAAAGAUUUAGUU
Molecule: long non-coding RNA, 1134 nt
Organism: Oryzias melastigma (Indian medaka)
Lineage: Eukaryota; Metazoa; Chordata; Actinopteri; Beloniformes; Adrianichthyidae
Exons: 2
Source: RefSeq, a predicted model, not a curated record